RNAcentral lists this ribosomal RNA (253 nucleotides) under uncultured bacterium. RNAcentral's name for it is "partial 16S ribosomal RNA". It matches the Rfam family "Bacterial small subunit ribosomal RNA", at positions 524 to 776 of the family's 1533-position model. The record is from RNAcentral.
UACGGGGGGGGCAAGCGUUGUUCGGAAUUACUGGGCGUAAAGGGCUCGUAGGUGGCCAACUAAGUCAGACGUGAAAUCCCUCGGCUUAACCGGGGAACUGCGUCUGAUACUGGAUGGCUGGAGAUUGGGAGAGGGAUGCGGAAUUCCAGGUGUAGCGGUGAAAUGCGUAGAUAUCUGGAGGAACACCGGUGGCGAAGGCGGCAUCCUGGACCGAUACUGACGCUGAGGAGCGAAAGCCAGGGGAGCAAACGGG